GAUGAACGCUGGCGGCGUGCUUAACACAUGCAAGUCGAACGGAAAGGCCCAAGCUUGCUUGGGUACUCGAGUGGCGAACGGGUGAGUAACACGUGGGUGAUCUGCCCUGCACUUCGGGAUAAGCCUGGGAAACUGGGUCUAAUACCGGAUAGGACCACGUCUUGGAUGGUGUGGUGGAAAGUUUUUUCGGUGUAUGAUGAGCUCGCGGCCUAUCAGCUUGUUGGUGGGGUAAUGGCCUACCAAGGCGUCGACGGGUAGCCGGCCUACGAGGGUGUACGGCCAGAUUAGGACACAAAGACGGGCAGCAGUCCUACGUGUGGCAGCAGGGGGGCAUAUUGGACACUGCGGGAAAGCCUGAUGGAGGGAGGCCGCGUGGGGGAUGAGCGCCUUCGGGUGGUAAACACCUUUCGCUAGGGACGAAGCGUUUUUGUGACGGUACCCAAAGAAGAAGCACCGGCUAACUACGUG
This 468-nucleotide ribosomal RNA is filed under the name uncultured bacterium. RNAcentral's name for it is "partial 16S ribosomal RNA". It matches the Rfam family "Bacterial small subunit ribosomal RNA", at positions 28 to 507 of the family's 1533-position model. The record is from RNAcentral.